RNAcentral lists this long non-coding RNA (233 nucleotides) under Homo sapiens (human). RNAcentral describes it as "non-protein coding NUTM2B-AS1:26". The record is from RNAcentral. Lineage: Eukaryota; Metazoa; Chordata; Mammalia; Primates; Hominidae.
AAGAGAAGCUUUACUGGUGUUCCAGCCCUAAGAAACCUUUGUUCAAGAAAACGGCAGAUGCUCUGUUGAAUCCACUGGAGAUUGUUCUGAUACUAAGGACAAGUAUCAACCAUCUUUCCUGUGAAAAAUUCCCUCUCGUACUUUAGUUCUGUGGAUCCAAAAUUUAUAGCAUUCUUCUACCACCACAGGGGCUCAUAUGACAUUAACAGACAAGACACUUUUCAGAAAGACAG